RNAcentral lists this long non-coding RNA (469 nucleotides) under Medicago truncatula (barrel medic). RNAcentral describes it as "long non-coding RNA (MTRU_LNC008200)". Lineage: Eukaryota; Viridiplantae; Streptophyta; Magnoliopsida; Fabales; Fabaceae. The record is from RNAcentral.
UCAUUAACAAAUUAUUUUAUGAACAAAAGUCAUUACACCAGAAUACAAACACUACAUCUCCUCCCAGAACUAGACUCCUGCUUCAAUUCCUUUCGAUUUAGAACUUUUCCUCACUCAGCUCCAUAGAUCUAAACUCUUUCUUCUUCUAUUUCUUCCUUUAUUCAUAUUCCCACAUUACACAGACCACGUAAUCCUUCUUCAUUCUUUCACAUGCAUGUUAUAAGCCGUGAGUACCAACAAAUCUUGAACCCUUUCUUCCUCGCUUUCCACACUGCGAUUCCGUUUUUUUUUUUGUACGAGAUCUUAUUUAAUCCAUAACCGGUGGAGUCCAGCCGACCACCCGUUAAAACCGUUGAACCACCGACCGUCGAAACCGUAGACUCAGAUGGACGGAAACGAACUGUGAUAUUGACGCCGACGGUUUGAUCGAUUCUGGAUUUUGAGCCCGAAACCGUCCGCUGUCUAGCCC